This is a long non-coding RNA of Hyla sarda, 962 nucleotides long. RefSeq lists it as uncharacterized. NCBI's taxonomy places the organism in Eukaryota, Metazoa, Chordata, Amphibia, Anura, Hylidae. The record is from RefSeq and is a predicted model, not a curated record. The transcript is spliced from 3 exons.
UGCCGGCGCAUGCGCUCUACCGACAAAGCACAUCGCUCACGUGACCUGCGACUCACUUCACAAGGAACGGGGAGUCGCAGAAUAUGAAUAUACUAUAUGUUUAGUGUGGGUGAUCAGGGUGACAAUUUUCCUUUAAAACAAAUUAUUCUAUGUUACUCUAUUAAAGUAGACCAGUUAUAAGAAGGUAACGCUGUCUGAAUAUACCUUUGGUCCAGAAAAAGUUUGUGUUCGGUAUUAUCAAUUUCUUGUAACUUCCAAGGUAGCUUAGCUGGGCGAGGCGCCUUAGACCUUCUACAGUUAUGAACCAACAAACUCUGCUUUUCUGGUCCUCUGAUCAGAUCGAGUCGGCUAGGCCCUUACAAAAUACUGUAGGAUAAUUAGAUUCACCAAAGCUUAUCGGUACAGCUCACCCUCCCGUCUGCACAGCGACACGGACAAGACUGGACCCAGGUCUCUUGGAACAAAUGGAUAAGAUGAUAUCGGGAGCAAGCUGCACCUGACAGACAUCUAGUCUAUCUAUAUGAGAUCAUCGGUGUCGUGCCUGAAGCAAUAAGGCUACGACUACGACCUUAGACAAAAGCUAUUGAAAUAAUUGGUAUAUUUAUUGGUGUUUUGCGCCGUACAGCAGUAGAUGCCGGUUUAAUUCAGCAUUAUCAUAUCCGUAGCGUUUUGUUCCUCGUACCCGCGAAUCCCCUCUGUCUUUUAGUCAAACACUCAGCUGGAGAUGAAAUAGUUUACUAAAUACCUACAGGAUGUCUGAGAUCGGAAACAGCAGGAGAGCCCGUAACCCUCUGCAAACACUCGCUGCAAGGUCAUAAAUGCCUGGAGGAAACACCGACUAAAUCCAGAUACAGGAAACUCAGGAACAAAGAUCAUCCAGGGACUGUGGCCUGGCUAUCCUGGGAAUUACUUCUAUUAUGAUGAGACUGACUAGGAUAUAAUUAUAUUUGUAUAUCUGUAUA